CCUACGGGAGGCAGCAGUGAGGAAUAUUGGUCAAUGGCCGUAAGGCUGAACCAGCCAAGUCGCGUGAAGGAAGAAGGAUCUAUGGUUUGUAAACUUCUUUUAUAGGGGAAUAAAGGUAUCCAAGUGGGGAUGUUUGCAUGUACCCUCUGAGUGAGCAUCGGCUAACUCAGUGCCAGCAGCCGCGGUAAGACGGAGGAUGCGAGCGUUAUCCGGAUUUAUUGGGUUUAAAUGGGGCGUAGGUUGUUUUUUUAGUCAGCGGUGAAAGUUUGUGGCUCAACCAUAAAAUUGCCGUUGAAACUGGAAGACUUGAGUGUGUUUGAGGUAGGCGGAAUGCGUGGUGUAGCGGUGAAAUGCAUAGAUAUCACGCAGAACUCCGAUUGCGAAGGCAGCUUACUAAGCCAUAACUGACACUGAAGCACGAAAGCGUGGGGAUCAAACAGGAUUAGAUACCCUUGUAGUC
This 460-nucleotide ribosomal RNA is filed under the name uncultured bacterium. RNAcentral's name for it is "partial 16S ribosomal RNA". It matches the Rfam family "Bacterial small subunit ribosomal RNA", at positions 338 to 795 of the family's 1533-position model. The record is from RNAcentral.